This 1442-nucleotide ribosomal RNA is filed under the name uncultured organism. RNAcentral's name for it is "SSU rRNA". It matches the Rfam family "Bacterial small subunit ribosomal RNA". The record is from RNAcentral.
CGCUAGCUACAGGCUUAACACAUGCAAGUCGAGGGGCAGCAUUUUAGUUUGCUUGCAAACUAAAGAUGGCGACCGGCGCACGGGUGAGUAACACGUAUCCAACCUGCCGAUAACUCGGGGAUAGCCUUUCGAAAGAAAGAUUAAUAUCCGAUAGUAUAUUAAAACCGCAUGGUUUUACUAUUAAAGAAUUUCGGUUAUCGAUGGGGAUGCGUUCCAUUAGUUUGUUGGCGGGGUAACGGCCCACCAAGACUACGAUGGAUAGGGGUUCUGAGAGGAAGGUCCCCCACAUUGGAACUGAGACACGGUCCAAACUCCUACGGGAGGCAGCAGUGAGGAAUAUUGGUCAAUGGACGAGAGUCUGAACCAGCCAAGUAGCGUGAAGGAUGACUGCCCUAUGGGUUGUAAACUUCUUUUAUAUGGGAAUAAAGUAUUCCACGUGUGGGAUUUUGUAUGUACCAUAUGAAUAAGGAUCGGCUAACUCCGUGCCAGCAGCCGCGGUAAUACGGAGGAUCCGAGCGUUAUCCGGAUUUAUUGGGUUUAAAGGGAGCGUAGGUGGAUUGUUAAGUCAGUUGUGAAAGUUUGCGGCUCAACCGUAAAAUUGCAGUUGAAACUGGCAGUCUUGAGUACAGUAGAGGUGGGCGGAAUUCGUGGUGUAGCGGUGAAAUGCUUAGAUAUCACGAAGAACUCCGAUUGCGAAGGCAGCUCACUAGACUGCAACUGACACUGAUGCUCGAAAGUGUGGGUAUCAAACGGGAUUAGAUACCCUGGUAGUCCACACAGUAAACGAUGAAUACUCGCUGUUUGCGAUAUACAGUAAGCGGCCAAGCGAAAGCAUUAAGUAUUCCACCUGGGGAGUACGCCGGCAACGGUGAAACUCAAAGGAAUUGACGGGGGCCCGCACAAGCGGAGGAACAUGUGGUUUAAUUCGAUGAUACGCGAGGAACCUUACCCGGGCUUAAAUUGCAUUUGAAUAAUCUGGAAACAGGUUAGCCGCAAGGCAAAUGUGAAGGUGCUGCAUGGUUGUCGUCAGCUCGUGCCGUGAGGUGUCGGCUUAAGUGCCAUAACGAGCGCAACCCUUAUCUUUAGUUACUAACAGGUCAUGCUGAGGACUCUAGAGAGACUGCCGUCGUAAGGUGUGAGGAAGGUGGGGAUGACGUCAAAUCAGCACGGCCCUUACGUCCGGGGCUACACACGUGUUACAAUGGGGGGUACAGAAGGCAGCUACCUGGCGACAGGAUGCUAAUCCCAAAAACCUCUCUCAGUUCGGAUCGAAGUCUGCAACCCGACUUCGUGAAGCUGGAUUCGCUAGUAAUCGCGCAUCAGCCAUGGCGCGGUGAAUACGUUCCCGGGCCUUGUACACACCGCCCGUCAAGCCAUGAAAGCCGGGGGUACCUGAAGUACGUAACCGCAAGGAGCGUCCUAGGGUAAAACUGGUAAUUGGG